GAUGAAGAACGCAGCGAAAUGCGAUAAGUAAUGUGAAUUGCAGAAUUCAGUGAAUCAUCGAAUCUUUGAACGCACAUUGCGCCCGCCAGCAUUCUGGCGGGCAUGCCUGUUCGAGCGUCAUUUCAACCCUCGACCUCCCCUUGGGGAAGUCGGCGUUGGGGACCGGCAGCAUACCGCCGGCCCCGAAAUGGAGUGGCGGCCCGUCCGCGGCGACCUCUGCGUAGUAAUCCAACCUCGCACCGGAACCCCGACGUGGCCACGCCGUAAAACCCCCAACUUUCUGAACGUUGACCUCGGAUCAGGUAGGAAUACCCGCUGAACUUAAGCAUAUCAAUAACGGAGGA
Molecule: unclassified non-coding RNA, 344 nt
Filed under: soil metagenome
Description: partial contains 5.8S ribosomal RNA, internal transcribed spacer 2, and large subunit ribosomal RNA
Rfam family: 5.8S ribosomal RNA (bases 1-120)
Source: RNAcentral